AGCUCCAGGAUGUUGUGUGAAGUCCUGCUCUCAUCGCUAUGGUUCCUAUUUGUUAUCUUCUGGUUCGAGACCAUAAGUGUGUGGUUGUUCCUGUCCAUGUUCUAUCAGGACAGGGCAUUUUACCACUGGGGAGAUGGCGUAUUUGCAGAUGAUCCUGGACAGAUGUUCUACAUGUUGAGCUGGUACGAACAUUGUCUUAAUUUUCAACAACUUAGGGCCUUUUGCAUUGUAAUAUGAACGUGCAAGGUUCAAUUAUUUGUCUCUUCUUGCAGAGUUGAUGCCCCUAUGCAGACAGACGUGCAGACCUGAGGCGGGUAAAAAUGAAGUCUAGUGGAACUAUAGACAUUUGUUGCAGUUAUUGGGCGAAAGAAAACCUAAUAUGCGGUAGCUGCUUUUCUUUGCACUGACUGCCUUGCCCAGUGUUGCGCAUGGUACUUGCUAAUAAACAUGUAUAAAUGUAAGCCA
This 465-nucleotide long non-coding RNA is filed under the name Betta splendens (Siamese fighting fish). RNAcentral describes it as "lncRNA (ENSBSLG00000014776.1)". The record is from RNAcentral. Lineage: Eukaryota; Metazoa; Chordata; Actinopteri; Anabantiformes; Osphronemidae.